GAGUUUGAUCCUGGCUCAGAACGAACGCUGGCGGCGUGCUUAACACAUGCAAGUCGAACGUGAUCCGGAGCUUGCUCCGGUGAAAGUGGCGCACGGGUGAGUAACGCGUGGAUAAUCUGCCCUGGUAUCUGGGAUAACAUCUCGAAAGGGGUGCUAAUACCGGAUAAGCCCACGGGAUCCUCGGAUUCUGCGGGAAAAGGUGGCCUCUAUUUAUAAGCUACCGUAUCAGGAUGAGUCCGCGUACCAUUAGCUAGUUGGUGGGGUAAUGGCCCACCAAGGCUACGAUGGUUAGCUGGUCUGAGAGGAUGAUCAGCCACACUGGAACUGAGACACGGUCCAGACUCCUACGGGAGGCAGCAGUGAGGAAUAUUGCGCAAUGGGGGCAACCCUGACGCAGCGACGCCGCGUGGGUGAGGAAGGUUUUAGGAUCGUAAAGCCCUGUCAGGUGGGAAGAAAUGUAUAGAGGAUAAUACCCUUUAUAUUUGACGGUACCACCAGAGGAAGCACCGGCUAACUCCGUGCCAGCAGCCGCGGUAAUAC
RNAcentral lists this ribosomal RNA (540 nucleotides) under uncultured Geobacteraceae bacterium. Its description in RNAcentral is "bacterial SSU rRNA". It matches the Rfam family "Bacterial small subunit ribosomal RNA", at positions 9 to 526 of the family's 1533-position model. Lineage: Bacteria; Pseudomonadati; Thermodesulfobacteriota; Desulfuromonadia; Geobacterales; Geobacteraceae. The record is from RNAcentral.